Molecule: ribosomal RNA, 253 nt
Filed under: uncultured bacterium
Lineage: Bacteria
Description: partial 16S ribosomal RNA
Rfam family: Bacterial small subunit ribosomal RNA
Source: RNAcentral
UACGGAGGGUGCGAGCGUUGUCCGGAAUCACUGGGCGUAAAGGGCGCGUAGGCGGCGCGGGCAGUCAACGGUGAAAGCUUGGGGCUCAACCCCGAGUCGGCCGUCGAUACUCCCGUGCUGGAGCACUGUAGAGGCAGGUGGAAUUCCGGGUGUAGCGGUGGAAUGCGUAGAGAUCGGAAGGAACAUCGGUGGCGAAGGCGACUUUCUGGACAGCUACUGACACUGAGGCACGAAAGCAUGGGGAGCAAACAGG